This 735-nucleotide ribosomal RNA is filed under the name Triticum aestivum (bread wheat). RNAcentral describes it as "partial small subunit ribosomal RNA". Lineage: Eukaryota; Viridiplantae; Streptophyta; Magnoliopsida; Poales; Poaceae. The record is from RNAcentral.
AUGAGCAUUAUAAGUUGGAACUGCCGGGGGCUUGGGAACCCUGAGGCAGUUCGAGAGCUUCGCAGUGUGGUGAAGCAAGAAGGGCCCUCCCUCCUCUUUGUUAUGGAAACGAAGAUUAGGGCAGCAAGGGUGGAGAAUCUGAAGUUUACUUUGGGUUUUGAUGGAUGUUUCGCGGUUAAUAGAGUCAGUCUCAGUGGAGGCAUCGGAUUGUUGUGGUCCAAUGAUGUUUUUGUUGAGAUCAAGAAUUAUGGUGCCGGCCACAUUGAUGUUGUGGUGCGAAAAAAGGAUCAAAACUCCUUCGAGUGGAGAUUCACUGGCUUUUAUGGUGCACCAAGGGUACAUGACCGUCAUCACAGUUGGCAUCUUCUCCGAACCCUGAAUGCACUUCCCCAUACAACAUGGGUUUGCAUGGGUGACUUCAAGGAGACUUUAUACGGUGAUGAACAUUUUAGCCGGUCUGCGCGACCAGAGUGGCAGAUGAGGGUGUUUCGUGAAGUGGUCGAUGAGUGUGCACUCCAAGACUUAGGCUGGACAGGAGUUCCUUUCACUUGGGACAACCGUCAAGCAGGAGUGGCAAAUGUCAAAGCAUGGAUUGAUCGGGCCUUUGCAAAUGAGGAAUUUAGGCAACAAUUCGGAUAUACAAAUGUUUGCCAUAUUAGCGCGGCAGAGUCGGACCACUGUUUUGUACACUUGGUGUUCCGGGAGCAGCGAGGCAAUACAUCAAGAAGGGAGUGA